AUCGCCUCCCGACCCCGCCCAAUAUGGGAGGUCCCGCCUGCCCUGUGAUAAAAAUUUAACGGCCGCGGUAUUUUGACCGCGCAAAGGUAGCGCAAUCACUUGUCUUUUAAAUGGAGACCUGUAUGAAUGGCACGACGAGGGCUUGACUGUCUCCCCCUCCUAGUCAAUGAAAUUGAUCUUCCCGUGCAGAAGCGGGAAUAAGCACAUAAGACGAGAAGACCCUGUGGAGCUUUAGACAACAAGUAGAACCUGUAAAGGUGACCCCCUCCCCCAACGGGCACGAAACAGAAGGUUCUUUCUACUUUGAUGUCUUCGGUUGGGGCGACCGCGGGGAAGAAUAAAACCCCCACGUGGAACACGAAAUGAUUCCUUAAGCUAAGAAUGACAAUUCUAAGAAGCAGAACAUCUGACCUAAUUUGACCCGGCCUUUGCCGAUCAACGAAACCAGUUACCCCAGGGAUAACAGCGCAAUCCUCUCCCAGAGCCCAUAUCGACGAGGGGGUUUACGACCUCGAUGUUGGAUCAGGACAUCCUAAUGGUGCAGCCGCUAUUAAGGGUUCGUUUGUUCAACGAUUAAAGUCCUACGUGAU
Molecule: ribosomal RNA, 590 nt
Filed under: Blenniella gibbifrons (hump-headed blenny)
Lineage: Eukaryota; Metazoa; Chordata; Actinopteri; Blenniiformes; Blenniidae
Description: partial 16S ribosomal RNA
Rfam family: Bacterial large subunit ribosomal RNA
Source: RNAcentral